GGGUUGUGAGGUUAAGCGACUAAGCGUACACGGUGGAUGCCCUGGCAGUCAGAGGCGAUGAAGGACGUGCUAAUCUGCGAUAAGCGCCGGUAAGGUGAUAUGAACCGUUAUAACCGGCGAUUUCCGAAUGGGGAAACCCAGUGUGACUCGUCACACUAUCAUUAACUGAAUCCAUAGGUUAAUGAGGCGAACCGGGGGAACUGAAACAUCUAAGUACCCCGAGGAAAAGAAAUCAACCGAGAUUCCCCCAGUAGCGGCGAGCGAACGGGGAGGAGCCCAGAGCCUGAAUCAGCAUGUGUGUUAGUGGAAGCGUCUGGAAAGGCGCGCGAUACAGGGUGACAGCCCCGUACACAAAACGCAUGUGCUGUGAGCUCGAUGAGUAGGGCGGGACACGUGGUAUCCUGUCUGAAUAUGGGGGGACCAUCCUCCAAGGCUAAAUACUCCUGACUGACCGAUAGUGAACCAGUACCGUGAGGGAAAGGCGAAAAGAACCCCGGCGAGGGGAGUGAAAAAGAACCUGAAACCGUGUACGUACAAGCAGUGGGAGCCCCACCACCAAAGCAUUCUCUGGUGUUGAAGGCCCUGCAAAGCAGCAUCGCGGUGGCGGAGCGUCGUUUGCGACGCCCAACACAC
RNAcentral lists this ribosomal RNA (633 nucleotides) under Salmonella enterica. Its description in RNAcentral is "partial 23S ribosomal RNA". It matches the Rfam family "Bacterial large subunit ribosomal RNA", at positions 1 to 589 of the family's 2925-position model. The record is from RNAcentral. Lineage: Bacteria; Pseudomonadati; Pseudomonadota; Gammaproteobacteria; Enterobacterales; Enterobacteriaceae.